This 387-nucleotide ribosomal RNA is filed under the name uncultured Cercozoa. Its description in RNAcentral is "bacterial SSU rRNA". It matches the Rfam family "Eukaryotic small subunit ribosomal RNA", at positions 587 to 972 of the family's 1831-position model. The record is from RNAcentral. Lineage: Eukaryota; Cercozoa.
AGCUCCAAUAGCGUAUAUUAAAGUUGCUGCAGUUAAAAAGCUCGUAGUUGGAUUUCUGGGCAUCCGAAUUUGGCCGGCCACGGUUUCGUGUGUUAGUGCUUUGUUCUGUGUCCAUCCUUCCAAUCGCCCUGGCUCUUCUUCAUUGAUGGGUCAGGGGUAUUGGAUCGUUUACUUUGAAAAAAUUAGAGUGUUUCAAGCAGGCUUAUGCUAUGAAUACAUUAGCAUGGAAUAAUAAUUUAGGACUUCGGUUCUAUUUUGUUGGUUUCUAGGACUGAAGUAAUGAUUGAUAGGGAUAGUUGGGGGUGCUAGUAUUCAGCGGCCAGAGGUGAAAUUCUCGGAUUCGCUGAAGACUAACUUAUGCGAAAGCAUUCACCAAGGAUGUCUUCU